AGUUUUGUGCAGUGGCAGGGUCGUAGCCAAUGAGGUUUAUCUAAGGUGCAAUUAUUGCUGUUAGAAAGCCACAGAUGGUUCUGGAGACCAGAGCCAUGAAAAUCCUUGUUCUUGUGCAGAAAA
Small nuclear RNA from Cebus imitator (Panamanian white-faced capuchin), 123 nucleotides. Its record names the gene U4. It matches the Rfam family "U4 spliceosomal RNA". From Rfam's summary of the family: U4 small nuclear RNA (U4 snRNA) is a component of the major U2-dependent spliceosome. The structure of U4 snRNA from yeast and human has been reported. The record is from Ensembl. Lineage: Eukaryota; Metazoa; Chordata; Mammalia; Primates; Cebidae.